AGAGUUUGAUCAUGGCUCAGAUUGAACGCUGGCGGCGUGCUUAACACAUGCAAGUCGAGCGGCAGCAGGCCCGCAAGGGUGCUGGCGAGCGGCGGACGGGUGAGCAAUACAUAGGAAUCUGCCUUAGAGCGGGGGUAGCCCGGGGAAACCCGGAUUAAUACCGCAUGAUGUCGAAAGACCAAAGUGGGGGAUCGUAAGACCUCACACUCUGAGAUGAGCCUAUGUCCGAUUAGCUAGUUGGCGGGGUAAUGGCCCACCAAGGCGACGAUCGGUAGCUGGUCUGAGAGGACGAUCAGCCACACCGGAACUGAGACACGGUCCGGACUCCUACGGGAGGCAGCAGUGGGGAAUAUUGGACAAUGGGCGAAAGCCUGAUCCAGCGACGCCGCGUGGGUGAAGAAGGCCUUCGGGUUGUAAAGCCCUUUAAGCCGGGACGAAAAAAUCGAACCUAACACGUUCGGUCUUGACGGUACCGGAAGAAUAAGCACCGGCUAACUCUGUGCCAGCAGCCGCGGUAAUACAGAGGGUGCAAGCGUUAAUCGGAUUUACUGGGCGUAAAGCGUGUGUAGGUGGCCGCGUAAGUCGAUUGUGAAAUCCCUGGGCUCAACCCGGGAAUUGCAGUCGAUACUGCGUGGCUAGAGUUCGGUAGAGGACGGCAGAAUUCCCGGUAGCGGUGAAAUGCGUAGAGAUCGGGAGGAAUACCGAUGGCGAAAGCAACCGUCUGGGCCUGAACUGACACUGAGACACGAAAGCGUGGGGAGCAAACAGGAUUAGAUACCCUAGUAGUCC
Molecule: ribosomal RNA, 789 nt
Filed under: uncultured bacterium
Lineage: Bacteria
Description: bacterial SSU rRNA
Rfam family: Bacterial small subunit ribosomal RNA
Source: RNAcentral